Molecule: long non-coding RNA, 1753 nt
Organism: Equus asinus (donkey)
Lineage: Eukaryota; Metazoa; Chordata; Mammalia; Perissodactyla; Equidae
Source: Ensembl
AGAGCCGGUGCACCGACAGAGCCUGGUAUUGGCUUUGGGUCCGUGAAACACCACGGAUGCUCACAAACCCCGCGACCCGUCAACCAUCUUGACUCAAGGACCCCCCCCCACGCCCACCCCGAAUGCGGAGGGACCGGCGGGCUGGAAUCCACGACCGGCGAGUCUGCCCUCGCCUGCACACUGCAGCCUCAGCCUGGAGAGCCCCGGCACGCACCCCCGCCCCCCGCCCCCGCCCCGCCCCGUCGCGGGUCUUUUACCUUGUGGCCUUUCCCUGGGGGACACCUGACGUUGUUGGAGGCUCCCGCUGUUUGAUUCAUGUCCGGAGGAAGUUGGGGGGCCCGAUUCUCGGCCUUCAAAACUUCCUUCGCGCGUGGAGGGUGGCAAGGUGCGCGUCUCGGGGAGGCCAGGUGGGUCCUCCCUCUCCAGCCACGGCCGGGCGAGCGGAAGCCGGUUCCUCACGCCGCAGGUUUCGGCGGGGCUCCUCGCCCAGGGAUGACAGCCCGCAGCCCGGUGCUGAGGAAGGAGAAGCUGCGGCUGGGACCCCGGAGGGAGCCCGGGCGGCAGCAGCGGCUUCCAGGGCGCUCUGCCCAGCGCUGCCUUCCUGGGAAACAGUCCAGACUCUCAGGACCAGAAGCCCGAGCAAAUCGGAAAGGAGCUCCGAGGAGGGGCCAAGGAGUCAUGAUCUAAUUAGUCAGCUUUCGGAUAGAGGUGGAAAACUGACCCUUGGGAACUAAGAAAAACAAAUCAAGAAAGAGCAACUGCUCCGUGAAGACUGCAUUGCAACAUUCUAGAAUUACAAGUCUGAGUGGUGGACCAGCAGCACAUUAGAAUACAGCCUUGGAGUUUAGCUAAAUGUUUUUUUCUAGAUUCCUGCAGGUAGAGAUGGCAGAGUUUGAAUAUUCUGGGUGGAAAAUCAAACCACACAACUCGGUUUCUGUUUCCAGAUCGCUCAUCCUUCGGUUCAUCAUCUGUAAAGUGAAGGAAGAUAUUGGCUUCCCCGGUGAGAACCGGAGCUGCGGUUCCUCCUCAGUCACGUUGGGGAACAGCACGUCCCCAUGGGUGCCCCUUUAGAGUAAAAAGGAGAUUUCCUUCUCAGGGGUCUGCCGAUGCUCACUGUCAUCUCCCUAGAGUAUUCCGUGGGCCACACAGUGACUCAGAGAUCCAGCCAGUCUUCACUUGGCAGCUCUGUCAUCUCAACGUGUGGCUUCCAUCACCACAGCUGGAAAACCAAAAGCCAGAGAUUCAGCUUCAAGACCAUUUUCUCAUGUUCUAAAAGUUCAAAAGCAAGCACUCAGGAGAGAGUUGGCUAUGCGUUCCUGCCUUGGGUUUUCUAAGACUAACCACCUGGUGAAUUCCGCAAUCCUGUUAAAUGAUGCUCCUGAACCGAGGAGGACACAGGCAAGCCAAAGGCAGAAUGACUGUCUCCAUGAGUGAUGAGAGAGCUGCAGACCUGAUAGGCAGAUAGAGCAUUAUUAAUAGACCAGGGGUUGGUGCUGGCUAUCACCUGAGCUGCCCAGGCUCUUCUUGUGUGGCAUAAGGGACUUUCUGCCAUCAUUUGGAUUUGGAACGGUGGACGAACAUCUCCAGUAACACUGUCCAGACAAUAUAUAAAGUUGAAAAUUUACCAAAUACAGCAUAUUUAAAGGAGCUUUAUCUUUCAAAACAAUAUGCAUACAUUUUAAAGGCAAAUAAAUGAAUAUAAUACCAGUAAUUAUUGUUGAAUUAUCCUCUGUUUACUUGAGAUGGAAAUAAA